Oncorhynchus keta (chum salmon) is the source of this 2144-nucleotide long non-coding RNA. RefSeq lists it as uncharacterized. NCBI's taxonomy places the organism in Eukaryota, Metazoa, Chordata, Actinopteri, Salmoniformes, Salmonidae. The transcript has 5 exons. The record is from RefSeq and is a predicted model, not a curated record.
AAAUCCCCGAGCUGACAAGGUACAAAUCUGUCGUUCUGCCACUGAACAGGCAGUUAACCCACUGUUCCUAGGCCGUCAUUGAAAAUAAGAAUUUGUUCUUAACUGACUUGCCUAGUUAAAUAAAGGUUUAAAAAAAAAACCUGUGCCAAUGCUCCAAGAUAAAAUCCCACUAUACUUCUUCUUGUGAAAGUUAAACAAUGUUUAGAGGACACAACAGAGAAGGGGGAAACAUAGACAAACUAUGUAAAUACUCUGAGUCAUUCACAACAGACCAUGAGAGUCUAGGAGGUGAAGUAUGCCCAGCACUGUACCCCUGUCGCUUGACCCUGUUGCUCUUGGCUUACCCAGAAGCCCCUUGGAGGAGCACAGAGAUUCCUGGGACACUCAGCGUGUAAUAACCUUGUCCUGUUUCACGCAGACUAAAUAUAUUAAAGUAUGGAGCAGGGAAGUUCAGGCCCCGGGGAGAGGGACGGUGGGGGAGAUAGAUAAUUAGAUGCCUAAUGGUGUAAUACAUGGGACAUGUAGGGUUUGUUCGGAGGUAGUUAGAUCCCUAAUGGUGUAAUACAUGGGACAUGUAGGGUUUGUUCGGAGGUAGUUAGAUGCCUAAUGGUGUAAUACAUGGGACAUGUAGGGUUUGUUCGGAGGUAGUUAGAUCCCUAAUGGUGUAAUACAUGGGACAUGUAGGGUUUGUUCGGAGGUAGUUAGAUCCCUAAUGGUGUAAUACAUGGGACAUGUAGGGUUUGUUCGGAGGUAGUUAGAUCCCUAAUGGUGUAAUACAUGGGACAUGUAGGGUUUGUUCGGAGGUAGUUAGAUCCCUAAUGGUGUAAUACAUGGGACAUGUAGGGUUUGUUCGGAGGUAGUUAGAUGCCUAAUGGUGUAAUACAUGGGACAUGUAGGGUUUGUUCGGAGGUAGUUAGAUCCCUAAUGGUGUAAUACAUGGGACAUGUAGGGUUUGUUCGGAGGUAGUUAGAUCCCUAAUGGUGUAAUACAUGGGACAUGUAGGGUUUGUUCGGAGGUAGUUAGAUGCCUAAUGGUGUAAUACAUGGGACAUGUAGGGUUUGUUCGGAGGUAGUUAGAUCCCUAAUGGUGUAAUACAUGGGACAUGUAGGGUUUGUUCGGAGGUAGUUAGAUCCCUAAUGGUGUAAUACAUGGGACAUGUAGGGUUUGUUCGGAGGUAGUUAGAUGCCUAAUGGUGUAAUACAUGGGACAUGUAGGGUUUGUUCGGAGGUAGUUAGAUGCCUAAUGGUGUAAUACAUAGGACAUUUAGGGUUUGUGACUUACAAGUCCCAGCUGUACUAGUGCUGUAAGACUUUUCAGUCUCCCAGAGAAAGAUCCAAGUUAGAAAAGGCGUGUGCCACUCUAGCAGCACAUGAAGAGUUAAGCCGGUCUCUUACAAUGUGAAGGAUUCAGUAUUUCUAUAGGGCCAUCUUUGUCUUUCCUUUAUCCUUGCCGGAGGCUAGAAACAGAGUCUUUCUCCCCUUCACCGUUUGGCUACAAUAGCCAGGUGGAUCUGGACACCAUUAAGUUAACGUGAGAACGUUUAGGCCCAAAUUCUUCCUCCUAUGUCUUUAGACCUUGGAAGCUUCGACCCAGGUUGUUAGCCUGCUAGCCUGUUAGCCUGCUCACCGAUUCCCUGCUUUUUAAAAAUGUAACCUGCCGCCACUUUACAAUGUGUGCUCAGGUCAUUAAACUGGUGUCGGUGUUUAUCCAGCUAGCAGUGGACUGGGCCGUUUAGCGUGUAAGCAGCGGCUCCCAAUGUCUUUAUGACAGGCAAUAGUGGCAAGUGGUGUGGAUAUGGGGGGUCCUGAAUGAUGGGCCAGGGGGAUGGGCACUCUCCUUUUUCACUGGCCCUAGGUGACCGUACCAGCCCACUAAUGACUACCUUAUAGACCCUAAAAGUCACUUUCAAAGAGUAUGCAUGAAUUACUUCACACCACCUGCUGCAAGCUGUGCAGCACCAAAGAUGACUGCUCUUGCUGUACUGGAAUACUGGUACAGUCUUUACAAAAUCCCUCUUGCAAUUCAACACAAUAGAAACACAUUAUUAUUAUUUAUAUUUUAUUAAAAAGGACUGAAAAUUAACUUUUGCCAUGUAAAGCCAUUGAUAAAAGUUUUCGCGGGGCAGUACAAGUGUUAACGUUUAA